AAUAAGGUGUACGGGUGAGUAAUAAUAAAUAAGAUACCCUACAGACUUCGGUAAUAGAGGAUAGUUCUUUUUUUUACACAAAUUAAGAAUAAAGGGACUUCAUUUAUGUUAUCUAAAAAUUUUUUAAAAUAUUUAGAAAUAUAAUUCCUACUGUAGGAUUCUAUUUAUCUUGAAUAGGUAGUUGAUAGGGUAAUGGCCUACCAAGCCUACGAUCAAUAGCCAGCUUGAAAGAGGGAUUGGCCACAUUGGGUCUGAAAUUUACCCAAGUAGUGCAUAACUACCAGCAGCCGAGAAUAUUUGUCAAUGCUCGCAAGAGUGAACAAGCCAACUGGAAUCACAACAACUUGUGAUAAAGUAAGGGAGGAUAAUGACGUUACCUUACUAUUAGUGUCGUCUAAAAUUGGUGCCAGAAGACUCGGUAAUACCAAAUACACAAACGUUAGUCAUCAUAAAUAGGCGUAAAGGGUUUGUAGGCUGCUCAUAAUUAUAUAUUAAGAGCUAGAAUCAAAUAGAGGUCAAUAUCAUACCUAGUGAAAGAAUUAAAUCUGUAAAUAUUAGGGGGAAUACUAGAAGCGAAGGCGAUUUUCCAUUUAAUGAUUGACGCUGAGACACGAAGGUUGGGGCAGGAAAUAGGAUGUGCGACCCAAUUAGAUACCCUAGCACUCCCAACUGUAAACGAUGAAUGGUAGGUGUUAAUUAUAUUAAAAUUAGUACCGAUGUGAACACGUUAACCAUUCCGCCUUGUGAGUAUACUUGCAAAAGUGAAAACAAAAAAAUUAGUCGGCCCCGAAGCAAACGAAGUGAAGCAUGUUGUUUAAUACGAUAAUCCGCGUAAAAUCUUACCAUGGCUUGAAUAUGACUUUUCUAAGAAUAUUUCACGAAAAAAUGUUCAUUUGUUAAAAAUAAUUCUAAUUUUGAUAAAGAUCAAUGAAGAAUUUUUAACAGAGAAAAGGAAUAAUUACUAUUAUUCAUUUACAGGUGUUGCAUGGCUGUCGUCGGUUCGUAUCGUGAGAUGUUUGGUUAAUUCCGCUAACGAACGCAAUCCCUAUUGUUAAUUUAUACUUAACACUGGCUUACCCUAAAAAAGGGAAGUUGUUUGGGGCUAUGACAAGCCGUUAUGACCCUUAUGCCGUGGGCUAUAGACGUGCCACAAAAACUUUAACAAUAUGAAGCAAUCCAUCGCCAACUCUCGAGUAAUUUGGGAAAAUUAGUAGGAGAACAUGAGGAGCUAAUCAUCAAAAUAAGUUAUAGCCGGAUUGUUGCCUGAAACUCGGCAACAUGAAGAAGGAAUUUCGAGUAAUCGUUGAUCACCAGCGCAACGGUGAAGACAUAAUUCGGGGUUUAUGGUUAAGAGCCCCUUUCUGAUUUAAAAUAUCAGAAAAAAAACUGGAUAAAUUGCAAGAAAAACUUUAAUAAAAGUCAAUUUGCAGCCAAGUACGUUAAGUGAAAUUUAUUUUUUAUUAUAAAGUGUAACGUAAAGGUUCAACGACUAAUGGGUGAGUAUUCACAACGAUAAUCCCAACACGAACAUCCAGCAGUAGUCAGUAUUCCCAUGGGAAUGUUUUCUAAUGAUGACAUAGUCUGAACAGUAGUGUGAACUACUGAAGUAGUGGUUAAAUUUCCUCUACGGUAACAAUAUUGGAACUAACCGUCCAUCAAGAGGAAGAAGUGUUACAGCAGGAAGAGGUGGCGAUUGAACCUCUUUGAUAAGCUAUGAAAUUAGAUUUAUUUUAUAAUUCUAAGUUCUUAUUUAAAGUUCAUGGACUGUUUCCAAUGUAUUAACAUAACAUCUUCUAAGUUGUAGCAAGGUAGUCUGUACUGGAAAGUGCCGCUGUAUUAUACAAAACUUAAACCCCCUCUUUGCCGGAUAAUAAUGGGAUGAACCAAAAUCGGGGCAGCAGCUAGCUUGCUUUUGUUUUUUUCUUAAGAAAUCCGUUAGAAAUCCCAAAUUUUGUGAGGACUUUAAGCUAUAGCUUAAAGCCUCUCGACUCAUUCGAUUAGUCGAAUGAGUUCGACAUCAAAAUUCUUGUGCUUUCAAUUAUAAAUAAUCUAUUUUUGAUUUAGUAUUUGGUUCCGAAGGAACAAAAUACUAAAUAAAAAAUUUUUGUCUACCACCUAUAGGUGGUAGACAAAACCGGAUUGUUUAAAUUGAAAGACUAGGGAUUAGAAAAUCGUAGAUUUUCU
Molecule: ribosomal RNA, 2184 nt
Filed under: Rhizoctonia solani
Lineage: Eukaryota; Fungi; Basidiomycota; Agaricomycetes; Cantharellales; Ceratobasidiaceae
Description: small subunit ribosomal RNA
Rfam family: Bacterial small subunit ribosomal RNA (bases 1-1361)
Source: RNAcentral